UUCAAGUUAUAAACUUACCUCAGUAGUGUACAUGAAAUGGUUUUGAAACAAUAUAGAUGGUUCAGACAGAUGGUGCAGAUAGACGAUCAAAAACAGGAGGCUCAUUGAUAUCUAACUGGCUAUGUCACCAACAUCAGUUUUAAGGUAGUUUGGUAUUUGCCAAGAUAAGAAACCUCUUCUUCUUUUUUUUUUUUUGCACUUAAUUUUACAGGCACAUGUAAAAUACAGUAAGAAUAAGGUGUCAGAGACUCAUCCUAUUUAAAAAAAUUCUAUAGAAAUCCUCCACUAUUGCCAAUGAAAGAGAAUAUUUCUUCCACUGUUUCACAGGAUGAAGAUCUGGUCCUCAUAAAAAUCUCACAACAUGAUUUAUUCUAAUAGGCUAGGAUUUGGAUGCAGGUUUCUAGAUAUGUUUUUAGAACAUUGCACAACUGCUCUACUCUCUAAGUGUGGGUUUUAAAAAUCAAGGAAAAGAAUGUCAAGAACGUGUAAAGGCUUCAACCUGGCACUCAAUAAUUUUAUAGAAUAGUUAAAAAUAAAUAUUGUUUAUAUAUAAAAACUUCCCAUCAGAAGAUGAGAAUAUAGGCAUUUGGGAAUCUUUUAAUUUAUAUUUUUAUAAACAAAAUCUAAAAAUAUUUGCUAAGGGAGUGGACCCACUCUCUGUCCACACAUGUAAAUUUCAUACCGCCACCAGCAAAAAAUCCCAUGGCUGGAGAGAUCAAAUGGAUCCACAAUGACAUAAAAACAUAACUGCAUACUCUCUACCUAUUGCACACCUCACUUCUUUAAGUUUUCCAAUCAAAGUGGAUGCAGUUCAUAAAGUGGGUGAGAAUCAACAUUUUACUGUAUUUUACAUUCGGUCUGCUAAAUAAAAGCCUUUAAACAGGCCACAAAACACUGCAAUAAUAUAAUUACUUCCUAAUAGCAACAAAAACAACAACAACAAAAAAAACCAACAACCUUAUUAAUAACAUUGAAAUAAAAUGGUUUCAUUUUCUGGUAAAACACACACCAUGUACUUUUUUUGCAAAAUAAAACGACAUUAAAAACGUCUAAGUAGAAGAUAUUUACACACUUUUAAAACUCCUACAGGUUUCUCCUCCUCUUCCUGGAUGUGUUCUCCCAAAUUUAGUUCACCGAAGCGGAAGUUACUUGUGCACAGUGUAUGGAGGAAAGCCCCGUUUUUACAAGCACAGUAUUCUAACAGUCCCAACUACAGCAGAAAUUUAGCAACGAGACAUGAUCACCAGACUCUUAAGUAGAUAAAGCAUUACUCUCCUACCGACAAGAACUCUUUUUGGACCCUGUCUACAUUUAAAGCGCGCAUUCUCUGUCACUACAACUUAAACUUCGAAAGAAAAAAAAAAGAAAACAAAAUUCAAGAGAAUCGGAAAGGAAAUUCAAUGUCGGUCUGGGCAAUGAAGAAGCUAGGUAGAGGUGCUCUCUCGUGGGCUCUAUCAAAUCCUGCUUCAGCAUAUGCACCAAAGCAUAAAGAUAAAGAUAAAAAGAUACUACCAAAAAAGUAGUUGAGUGGAGAACUCAGCAAUUUCUUUUCUGUUUCUAACAACCCACUCCCCAAAUGUCCAGUAUUGUCCAGUCUUGGAGGACAAAGGAAAAUGGAAAAUGAGGAAGAGCACAGUAGGUGGGAGAGGCCCAAAUCUAAGAAAUCUCUUAGAAAUCUCAGGCUACUUCCUCCUCC
Long non-coding RNA from Sarcophilus harrisii (Tasmanian devil), 1696 nucleotides. The record is from Ensembl. Lineage: Eukaryota; Metazoa; Chordata; Mammalia; Dasyuromorphia; Dasyuridae.